This 200-nucleotide ribosomal RNA is filed under the name uncultured organism. Its description in RNAcentral is "partial small subunit ribosomal RNA". It matches the Rfam family "Eukaryotic small subunit ribosomal RNA", at positions 1462 to 1661 of the family's 1831-position model. The record is from RNAcentral.
CUGUGAUGCCCUUAGAUGUUCUGGGCCGCACGCGCGCUACAAUGAUGAAUUCAACAAGUUUAUAACCUUGGUUGAAAAGCCUGGGUAAUCUUUUGAACUUUCAUCGUGAUGGGGCUAGACCCUUGUAAUUAUUGGUCUCCAACGAGGAAUUCCUAGUAAACGCAAGUCAUCAGCUUGCAUUGAUUACGUCCCUGCCCUUU